CGGAACGUGCCCGAUCGUGGGGGAUAACGCAGCGAAAGCUGUGCUAAUACCGCAUACGAUCUACGGAUGAAAGCGGGGGAUCGCAAGACCUCGCGCGGACGGAGCGGCCGAUGGCAGAUUAGGUAGUUGGUGGGGUAAAGGCUCACCAAGCCUGCGAUCUGUAGCUGGUCUGAGAGGACGACCAGCCACACUGGGACUGAGACACGGCCCAGACUCCUACGGGAGGCAGCAGUGGGGAAUUUUGGACAAUGGGCGCAAGCCUGAUCCAGCCAUGCCGCGUGCAGGAUGAGGGCCUUCGGGUUGUAAACUGCUUUUGUACGGAACGAAAAGGUUCUUUCUAAUAAAGAGAGCUCAUGACGGUACCGUAAGAAUAAGCACCGGCUAACUACGUGCCAGCAGCCGCGGUAAUACGUAGGGUGCAAGCGUUAAUCGGAAUUACUGGGCGUAAAGCGUGCGCAGGCGGUGAUGUAAGACAGAUGUGAAAUCCCCGGGCUCAACCUGGGAACUGCAUUUGUGACUGCAUCGCUGGAGUGCGGCAGAGGGGGAUGGAAUUCCGCGU
RNAcentral lists this ribosomal RNA (559 nucleotides) under uncultured bacterium. RNAcentral's name for it is "bacterial SSU rRNA". It matches the Rfam family "Bacterial small subunit ribosomal RNA", at positions 119 to 674 of the family's 1533-position model. The record is from RNAcentral.